AAACAAUAUAACCAAAUAUAUAGCCAGUCAUUCAGGUUACCUGAACUAAAGAAUUAUGCCCACAUACCAAUACAAUGUUUGCAUUUUACUAGAAUUAUGGAACUAUACACUCACCAAUAUGCCAGAAGUUUCCUUAGAAAUACUUAUGUAUUUUUUCGUCACUCGUACUGUAACAUUUUACAUCAUAGGACAACAUUUACUGGUCAUCUAUA
Non-coding RNA from Pelobates cultripes (western spadefoot toad), 212 nucleotides. The record is from the annotation of a GenBank genome assembly. Lineage: Eukaryota; Metazoa; Chordata; Amphibia; Anura; Pelobatidae.